This 65-nucleotide transfer RNA is filed under the name Aphanomyces astaci. RNAcentral's name for it is "tRNA H257_04771". The stretch from base 5 to 62 matches the Rfam family "tRNA", at positions 9 to 63 of the family's 71-position model. Rfam says of the family: Transfer RNA (tRNA) molecules are approximately 80 nucleotides in length. The record is from RNAcentral. Lineage: Eukaryota; Oomycota; Saprolegniomycetes; Saprolegniales; Verrucalvaceae.
GUACAGCUCACACGGGUAGAGCAUUGGGGUUACAACCCAAAGGUUGCGGGUUCAAAUCCCGCACA